Musa acuminata subsp. malaccensis (wild Malaysian banana) is the source of this 1828-nucleotide non-coding RNA. NCBI's taxonomy places the organism in Eukaryota, Viridiplantae, Streptophyta, Magnoliopsida, Zingiberales, Musaceae. The record is from RefSeq and is a predicted model, not a curated record.
CCGACGCCACUACAAGGCUGAGCCCAGCAUGAUGCGAUGAGGUCCCUCUGAUCCGAAGCCGAGCAGUUUUACUUAAUCGAGUUGGCUCUGGUUCGUGCCAAAUUGGGCAGGCGGGUUUGGGUUGAAUCCCUCGCGAGUCGUCGUCGUAACGGAAUCCCUCGCCCAUGGCGGUAUCAUUUCAGGCCAAUGCUUACGGCUAGCGUUACUCGGUGGCAGUCCAGGAUAGGGCCGGUCCGUUUCUCUCCGCGAGGGCUUGCAUUUCUCCUAAAUCGUCGCAUUUUCAGUUUCUGGAAUUGGAUAAACAGUGACAAAGCAUACUAUCCAGCAGUAUAUGGACAAAUUGGUUGUUGAGUCACCAUCCGAAUUAGCUGAUAAGCUUCUUCCUCUAAAUCUCGAGGAAGAAAAUCAGUUGCAAAAGAAGGUUGCUUAUCUUCUUCUUGAGAUUAAAGAGUCUAAGAAUAAUGUUCAACAGCUUCAGACUGAACAUGGCAAGGUGGAAAAUUCUAUUAAGAUGCUGUCCUGUCAAAUGAGUGAGUUGGACAAGAGAAAGACAGAUGUUCUAAAUGAAACAAAGCUGCUGCAUCAGAGGAUUGAUGAAAGAAACUGGGGUGAUGCUGUCCAGGAUAUGAUCAGAAUGUUGAAAAUAGUUAAGGAUCUUGAAAGGAAAGAAUCUGAUCUGUUGUCUUCAUGUAAACUAAUACAUGCGGAUGUGGAAGAAUCAUUUACCUAUGGAGGACAACUGGAGUUUGCUGAAUUUGAUGAAGCACUGAGCCAAUCAAUGGAGAAACUUACUUCAGCUAAAAGGGAAUUUGCUGCUAAAUUAAGGGCAAUUUUGUCAGUAAAACGAAAGAUUGGUGAUGUGCCCACACAAGUCGAGCUGAUUCAAUAUGAACGGCGAUUUUCAGAACUUUAUUCCCAGAUUCAGGAAAAGCAUAGACAAACUUCUAAAUACUAUGAUACUUAUAAUGCACUAUUGGAGAUAAAGGAACUGAUGCUAAAAGAAACAUCCCUGUUGAACUCAAUAAAUUCGCAGCUUCAAGAUGCCUUGACUAGCAGCAUUGGUUCUUCUAAACUCGUGGACUCCAUGGAGGUUAUAGUGAAGGGAGCUCAACAAAAACUGGAAAAGGUACAGCUUAGGCUACUGGCUGAAAAGAAACAUUCUGACUUUCUGAGGGAGAAGUACACAGCAGCUAUAGCAGACCAGCGGCAUUUUUCAUCGCUUCUAAAGGCUUUCCAGGAUGAGUGCACAAAAAAUGAAAGGCUCAGCCAGUUAGUUCAAAAUCGCAUGUCAUCAAGUGCAUCCCUCUGAAAUCUUUGAACCGGGGCUAGGAUAUGUUUCUGACUCAGUGGUAAGCCCAUCCCCGUGCUUCAUCAGAUGUGAUAAAGAUGGAACUGCACCAGUCUCAAAAUCUGUCUGAGGUUUGUUUAAAGGAAAGGUUCUGGUGUCCUCCAAACUGAUUGCAGGACUGAGCUGGAGAUGUGAUUUAUUGUCUAAUUGCAGUGAUUAGGUGGACUUUCCGGUCGUGGUGAGGGAGGCACGCGAUGGACUAUAAUUUGAAUCUCUCUUUGGAGACAUCUUUCAAGGGUUUGGCAUAGGUGUAUGAUGAUGUUGCUUUCUUAUGUUCUUUGAAUGAACUUUUGAUUGAUUGCAUAACGAAUAGUUAAUGUGGUCGUCGGUAUGUUGGGAGAAGAAUCUGCAUCGGCCACUGCACGAUUUGAGCCAAUCGGAGGAUUACGAUUCGAAAGGCUUGGAGUCACACGAGGGGAUGGAUGGAAAGAAGAAGAAAGACGGGAGCGGUAAGGUUGCGAUGUUCUCGUGAGAGGAGAG